This 253-nucleotide ribosomal RNA is filed under the name uncultured bacterium. Its description in RNAcentral is "partial 16S ribosomal RNA". It matches the Rfam family "Bacterial small subunit ribosomal RNA", at positions 524 to 776 of the family's 1533-position model. The record is from RNAcentral.
UACGUAGGGUGCAAGCGUUGUCCGGAAUUAUUGGGCGUAAAGAGCUCGUAGGCGGUUUGUCGCGUCUGCUGUGAAAGUUCGGGGCUCAACCCCGGAACUGCAGUGGGUACGGGCAGACUAGAGUGCGGUAGAGGAGACUGGAAUUCCUGGUGUAGCGGUGGAAUGCGCAGAUAUCAGGAGGAACACCAGUGGCGAAGGUGGGUCUCGGGGCCGCAACUGACGUUGAGGAGCGAAAGCGUGGGGAGCGAACAGG